UACCUUUGCCUCGCUUUUGGUUCCCGGUGGUUUCAUCGGGAUUAAAAGGGAAUACGGUGUGAUUCCGUAACUGUCCCGCAGCUGUAAGCUCCAUAACGGUAUUCAAAUCGAAGCCACUUGUCCGAUCCGGAAAUGUUCCGGUAUAGAUUGGGAAGGCAGGAUAUCCGGGAGUAAGUCAGAAGACCUGCCAGUAGGUGUAAUAUUUC
This 206-nucleotide non-coding RNA is filed under the name Pedobacter steynii. Lineage: Bacteria; Pseudomonadati; Bacteroidota; Sphingobacteriia; Sphingobacteriales; Sphingobacteriaceae. The record is from RNAcentral.